UUGUUAAUAAAUUUAUCAUUAUCACAAAGUUGAGAAAAAAAGGUGUCGGGAACGUUUUCUCUGGUAUCCAAAUACUGCCGUAGUGUAUCGAGGGAGAUAACUACCUCUGACAGAUUUGGAAGAUGCACUUUCAUUUCCAAGGACUCCUCGUCACUCUCAUGACUAGCAUCAUUGCCUAAAAUAUUCUGAACUAAUUCAUCCUCUGAUCGUGUUUGCACAACCACAAUAUUUUCAUUGACAUUCACAAUAUCAUCAAACGAUAAUGCAUUGUCCGCAAAUGUCGCCGUAAGUAAAGCUAAUGGAAUAUUGUCGUCCUCUUCAAACUCAACAACAUCGGGUUUAGCAAGUUCAAAUCCAGCCUUAUUGAAGCAGUUGAUAAUCUAAUUAGAUUGAGUUGAUAAUGCAAGUCUGACUGACAUCAUUUCAAGCCGUCUUGAGACUCUGUAGAAACCGCUAAUGAAACAAUUACACUUAUAAUGAUACAAACUUCAUUAAGGGGUGCAGUUGCAACGCUUAAUGAUACAAAUUAUCGCAUUAACGGUCCACAGUAUUAACCGUUAAAGGUCAUAGUCCAAGGAAACGAUUUUUUUUAAAUUUUGUUUUCCACAAAAAUAUGUUCUUCUUUAAUUACUUAAUAUAUGUAAAUAAGUCAUUCAGAAAAAAAUUGUAGUGUAACAGACGCUACAGAUCGCCAUAUGUUGCUGUGGUGUGAAGUAUCAAAAUAGUAUGAUGAUUUAUCUCCCUUGCUUGAUGACAUCAAAAGAGACCAGCUUGACGCAAAAGUGUAUUUGUUUACACUAACAACUGCAGGUAUUACCCACCAAAAUGUUCAACGUGCUUGCAUUCAACUGUAAUGUAGCAAGUCAGUUGUUUCAAUGUACUUUUCUCCAAAGGAUCCAACGUUUAGAAAGCCUUGGGUGUGAAAUCUACAUCGAGAACACAGAACUCCAAUCUAAUUAAAAUCAGAUCCUAGGAUACGCUCACAAUCGCUAUAAUGGGAUCUGACAUAACCCCAUAGGGUUUCAUGUCAGCAUGACCUUUCGCUUGGAAUAUUUAUGAGAACUAUCAGCCAGUCAGAUUGCACCAUACAGACAAUGAUGGCUAUUUAGGCAGUUCCUGGCAAUUUGUAAACAAAUUUGCUGUAAUCUCUCUCCCACGAAGUUUAUUCCACACUGUAAAAUUGUAUAUUCUCGCAUAACGAAUUUUAAACUUUCGCAAUAAUGCCUAAUCUAUUCCGUUCAUACAAACAACAAAACGUACGAUAUGAAAUACACCCAAAUUGAAUUAAUUGUGAAUUCCGAUUUAUGUAUAAAUAGGGAUGGGUACGAUUUGAAUAGUUUUCAAGAUGGUUUACUUAAAUAACGCGAGGAAUAUAACGCCAGUCGACGUCAACGUGCAUUGUGACGUCGCAUCUAGCUGCGAUAUGUUUUCUUUCAAACCAAAGAAUUGAAGCCACUUUCCUUGAAUUGUGAACACCGACGAUUUCAAAGCCGACGCACAGAUUGGCAGGCAUGAAGUUCAUCUGAACAUGAUCCCUAAUCGGGUUAUGUCAGAUCUACUUACGCAAAGUAUACGGCGCGGAUCUAAGAAGUCUGAUUUUAAUUAGAUUUACAGAACUCGAAGUUGUAUGACAGUCACUUUAUGCUAUUACAGGGUUGAUGAGGAUCAAUUUCGUUAUCAUAUACAGUAAAACUCGAACAUAGCGAACACGGAUAUAGCGAAAUUACGGCUAUAGUGAAGUGAAAACGAUUUUCCCCGGCAAAUUCUUUAUAUAUUCUAUAUAUUCUAUAUAAAAAUCUGUGUCUAUAACGAACACGGAUAUAGCGAAUUUACUUUUUUUUUCAUUUUAAACUUUUUGUGUAGUACCCUCUGCUUUGGCAAAAAAUAAUGGGUAUAAGAAAUUAAAUCUUCGACCAGAUGCAGUUCCAACUAUUUUCAACUUCACACAAACUGCAAGCACGGUGAAUACGAGAAAAUUCUGUAAAACGUUUACUGUAUAAUAAUGGUAACUAGUUAAAUAUUCAAAAAAUUUACAUGAUUUCAUUUGUUUAAUCAAAGGCCUGAGGGGCCUGAGAGUCGACUCACACUUCAUUGUCAACUGGAAUAGGUAAUCUUGCAAGAUAGUAGUAUUCAUUGGCUGAGGAUGACGAACAUCGUGUGUGUGAGUUCGCAGAUGCACACUUCUUUUAGCAGGAUUUAUACUUUAAUGCAUCAUGCCUGUGUAAAGUGACUAAAUUUGACUAAGUCAUGACCACUGCCAUUUAAAUGACAUGUACAUAUCCAACAUGGAUGUAAAGUGUCAUUGUUAAACAAUUCAUGACGUACAAAUGCUAGGAAUUGGAGGAAAAUCAUUAUAUAGUCAUAUAGUGCUUUGUAUCGCAACAUAAAACCCUCAAAUAAGCAUCACAGCGGUUGUAAAAAGAUACCAUCCAACAAAAAAGCUUAGCAAAUCAAUUCCUCAAGCUUAAACUUUAGUCAAUGUUACAAUGACUAUGCAUUAUUACUAGACUGACUCUCAGUGCAUAUUUUGGGAGUUUAUUCAGCAACUAGUCAUAAAAUGCUACCAUCAAAAUAAUAAAGAAAACAAGAAAUGUUCGUCCAACAAUACAAACAUACAACAAUACCCUCCCCCACCUCCCCCAUCCUUACGUGGUACAGAAUUGAAAAGGGUUAUACACAUGCAUCAUUUAAUUGAUAUUAGUACCAAACCAAUGCAAGUCAAGAUGAGUGGACAAUAUCUUCCUAUGUCCAGAAUGGACUGACCCUUGGCCUUUGACCAUGUGGCCUAAUAUAAAUAGGAGUCAUCUACUCCAUAGGAUGUACCAGUGUACCAAGUUUGGUGUCAAUCAAGCUAAUGAUUCUUGAAAUAUAGGAGACAAUAUAUUACUAUGUCCAGUUUGACCCUUGAUCUUUAACCAUGUGACCUCAAAAUCAAUAAGGGUCAUAUACUACUUAAGAGCCAUUCUCUGUAAGCAUCAAAACAUGUGGAAAACGACCGACACGGAUUUUGACGAAAUUUUACACAAAGUAUACAUACUUCAGUACUUUAAUCAUGACACCUUUAAAAAUGGGCUUUGACUCGUGUUUCCAUGGCAACAAGACAUACAAUUUUGUGAAAGACGUGCCCCUUAGUAAAUAUUGAAUUUUCCUUUAUAAAAAAUGUGUAUAAUCAUUUUUCAUUUAAUUUCCAUUGCUAUUUAAUAGAGCUAUGUUGUGUGUAAUUUUUAAAAAUAAAAUUAAUUUGCUGCAAUGCCUUAACAUGAAAUAUAUGCCCUUAAAUACCCCAAAAUCCCACUGAAAAUGAGAGAAAAUUAUUUCAAUUAUGUGCAGAAACACAACCACUGGUGGAUUGUUCUUAUAUUGAUAAAUGUGUAUCGUAUCUAUUAGAAUAACAUAUCAAAAAAUUAGAAAUGUCAUAUUUCAUUUAAGAAAAUAAAUUGAUUUUAAAAUUUGCGCUAUUGCGAAAAUAUGCGAGUUUUUCCGAAAUCUAGAUCACCUCGACUCUUGACUGCAAUGCGUAUUCCAAGUAUAUUCAUGAUCAAGACAAGUUACAUCCCUUUUCUGAAGUGAAAGUAGAAAUUCAUGAGUGGUGAUUUGGAUAUUUUGAGCUGGUUUAAGUCUUUAAAUCAACUAGAAUUUUACAUUUGAUACUUAAGUAUUUGUCGGAGAACGUUAUGCUUUCGAUGGAUAGCUUUCAAUGAUGAUGUAUCAGUGGAUUUACGAUGCGAUCGUGAUUACAACAGGGAGAACUUGUAUGCAAAAACUUCUGAGAAGAUUAGCCGAAAAAGAAACGCACAGGUGGCAUUAAUUGUGUCCAAUGCUGUUGUCAUAACAAUUCAGAUCCCUCUGACAGUCAGGGGUGCAGAUUCAAGAUUGGAUGUUCUAAAUGAAAUUAAGACAGAAAUAUUUUCUGUGAGGAAUGUAUAAGACUCAGCAUCAUCAUUAUGACAACACAGUUGUGGAUCAUUAAAAUUUAAGUGGAUCCAACAUGGCUGGGACUUGUUUAAAGAUUGUUCAGCUGGAAUGUGUCCACUGACAAAAUCACAGAGGCUGAAACUGUUGGAGAAUAUUUGAUGACCUGUUUUUGAAUUUCUCAUCCCCUUUCAUGGAAGGAACUGUACUCAACUGAACACUGCAACUGUACAUGUCCAUAGUUUAAAGAAAAAUACUAAUAUAUAUGCAAAAACAAAUAUAUUGUGUUAAUAGUCAUUGUUUACAAACUCAUUUUUAGAUAAAGCUUGAACAUAUAA
This is a long non-coding RNA of Ostrea edulis (European flat oyster), 4250 nucleotides long. RefSeq lists it as uncharacterized. NCBI's taxonomy places the organism in Eukaryota, Metazoa, Mollusca, Bivalvia, Ostreida, Ostreidae. The record is from RefSeq and is a predicted model, not a curated record. The transcript is spliced from 2 exons.